RNAcentral lists this ribosomal RNA (497 nucleotides) under uncultured bacterium. RNAcentral's name for it is "partial 16S ribosomal RNA". It matches the Rfam family "Bacterial small subunit ribosomal RNA", at positions 28 to 507 of the family's 1533-position model. The record is from RNAcentral.
GAUGAGCGCUGGCGGCGUGCCUAAUACAUGCAAGUCGAGCGAACAGAUGAGGAGCUUGCUCCUCUGACGUUAGCGGCGGACGGGUGAGUAACACGUGGAUAACCUACCUAUAAGACUGGGAUAACUUCGGGAAACCGGAGCUAAUACCGGAUAAUAUAUUGAACCGCAUGGUUCAAUAGUGAAAGACGGUUUUGCUGUCACUUAUAGAUGGAUCCGCGCCGCAUUAGCUAGUUGGUAAGGUAACGGCUUACCAAGGCAACGAUGCGUAGCCGACCUGAGAGGGUGAUCGGCCACACUGGAACUGAGACACGGUCCAGACUCCUACGGGAGGCAGCAGUAGGGAAUCUUCCGCAAUGGGCGAAAGCCUGACGGAGCAACGCCGCGUGAGUGAUGAAGGUCUUCGGAUCGUAAAACUCUGUUAUUAGGGGAGAACAAAUGUGUAAGUAACUAUGCACGUCUUGACGGUACCUAAUCAGAAAGCCACGGCUAACUACGUG